RNAcentral lists this ribosomal RNA (873 nucleotides) under uncultured marine bacterium. RNAcentral's name for it is "bacterial SSU rRNA". It matches the Rfam family "Bacterial small subunit ribosomal RNA", at positions 36 to 957 of the family's 1533-position model. The record is from RNAcentral.
CUGGCGGCAGGCCUAACACAUGCAAGUCGAGCGCGCCUUCGGGUGAGCGGCGGACGGGUUAGUAACGCGUGGGAACGUGCCCUUCUCUACGGAAUAGCCUCUGGAAACGGAGAGUAAUACCGUAUACGCCCUUUGGGGGAAAGAUUUAUCGGAGAAGGAUCGGCCCGCGUUAGAUUAGGUAGUUGGUGGGGUAACGGCCUACCAAGCCUACGAUCUAUAGCUGGUUUUAGAGGAUGAUCAGCAACACUGGGACUGAGACACGGCCCAGACUCCUACGGGAGGCAGCAGUGGGGAAUCUUAGACAAUGGGGGCAACCCUGAUCUAGCCAUGCCGCGUGAGUGAUGAAGGCCUUAGGGUCGUAAAGCUCUUUCGCCUGUGAUGAUAAUGACAGUAGCAGGUAAAGAAACCCCGGCUAACUCCGUGCCAGCAGCCGCGGUAAUACGGAGGGGGUUAGCGUUGUUCGGAAUUACUGGGCGUAAAGCGCGCGUAGGCGGAUUAGAAAGUUGGGGGUGAAAUCCCGGGGCUCAACCUCGGAACUGCCUCCAAAACUGCUAGUCUAGAGUUCGAGAGAGGUGAGUGGAAUUCCGAGUGUAGAGGUGAAAUUCGUAGAUAUUCGGGGGAACACCAGUGGCGAAGGCGGCUCACUGGCUCGAUACUGACGCUGAGGUGCGAAAGUGUGGGGAGCAAACAGGAUUAGAUACCCUGGUAGUCCACACCGUAAACGAUGAAUGCCAGUCGUCGGGUAGUAUACUAUUUCGGUGACACACCUAACGGAUUAAGCAUUCCGCCUGGGGGGUACGGUCGCAAGAUUAAAACUCAAAGGAAUUUACGGGGGCCCGCACAAGCGCUGGAGCAUGUGGUUUAAUUCGAGGC